RNAcentral lists this ribosomal RNA (250 nucleotides) under uncultured bacterium. RNAcentral's name for it is "partial 16S ribosomal RNA". It matches the Rfam family "Bacterial small subunit ribosomal RNA", at positions 524 to 776 of the family's 1533-position model. The record is from RNAcentral.
GACGGGGGGGACCAGUGUUAGUCGUAUUGAUUGGGCGUAAAGGGUGUGUAGACGGCUUUUUAGAACUUAUCGGUAAAGUCCACUUUAGCUGUGGUAUCCGUCUGUUAUCAUAAAGCUAGAGUGACGGGGAGGGGUGCGGUACUUCUAGUUUAGGUUUGAGUGCCGAAGAGAUUAGAAGGACCCCCAGUGGCGAAGGCGGCUACCCACCUGUCACUGACGUUGAGGCACGGAGGCGUGGGGAGCAAACGGG